Molecule: transfer RNA, 63 nt
Filed under: Drilaster sp. 2 XYG-2023a
Lineage: Eukaryota; Metazoa; Arthropoda; Insecta; Coleoptera; Lampyridae
Description: tRNA-His
Source: RNAcentral
ACUUAAAUAGUUUAAUUAAAAUAGUGAUUUGUGGAGUCAAAGAUAUAAUGAUUAUUUUAGGUA